Ictidomys tridecemlineatus (thirteen-lined ground squirrel) is the source of this 107-nucleotide small nuclear RNA. The record is from Ensembl. NCBI's taxonomy places the organism in Eukaryota, Metazoa, Chordata, Mammalia, Rodentia, Sciuridae.
GUGCUCACUUCAGCAGCAAAUAUACUAAAAUUGGAACAACACAGAGAAGAUUAACACAGCCCCUAAACAAGAAUGGUACUCAAAUUCAUGAAGCAUUCCAUAUUUUU